This 75-nucleotide transfer RNA is filed under the name Yeosuana aromativorans. Its description in RNAcentral is "tRNA-Asp". It matches the Rfam family "tRNA". From Rfam's summary of the family: Transfer RNA (tRNA) molecules are approximately 80 nucleotides in length. Their secondary structure includes four short double-helical elements and three loops (D, anti-codon, and T loops). Further hydrogen bonds mediate the characteristic L-shaped molecular structure. tRNAs have two regions of fundamental functional importance: the anti-codon, which is responsible for specific mRNA codon recognition, and the 3' end, to which the tRNAs corresponding amino acid is attached (by aminoacyl-tRNA synthetases). tRNAs cope with the degeneracy of the genetic code in two manners: having more than one tRNA (with a specific anti-codon) for a particular amino acid; and 'wobble' base-pairing, i.e. permitting non-standard base-pairing at the 3rd anti-codon position. Lineage: Bacteria; Pseudomonadati; Bacteroidota; Flavobacteriia; Flavobacteriales; Flavobacteriaceae. RNAcentral also lists the same sequence under 8 other names. The record is from RNAcentral.
GGUCUGGUAGUUCAGUUGGUUAGAAUGCCGCCCUGUCACGGCGGAGGUCGCGGGUUCGAGUCCCGUCCAGACCGC